This 69-nucleotide transfer RNA is filed under the name Marmota monax (woodchuck). Its description in RNAcentral is "tRNA.Ala". The record is from RNAcentral. Lineage: Eukaryota; Metazoa; Chordata; Mammalia; Rodentia; Sciuridae.
GGAGUUGUGGCUCAGAGGUAGAGUGAUCGCCUAGCAUGUGUGAGGCACUGGGUUCGAUCCUCAGCACCA